RNAcentral lists this ribosomal RNA (465 nucleotides) under Vreelandella stevensii. Its description in RNAcentral is "partial 16S ribosomal RNA". It matches the Rfam family "Bacterial small subunit ribosomal RNA", at positions 338 to 795 of the family's 1533-position model. Lineage: Bacteria; Pseudomonadati; Pseudomonadota; Gammaproteobacteria; Oceanospirillales; Halomonadaceae. The record is from RNAcentral.
CCUACGUGAGGCAGCAGUGGGGAAUAUUGGACAAUGGGCGAAAGCCUGAUCCAGCCAUGCCGCGUGUGUGAAGAAGGCCUUCAGGUUGUAAAGCACUUUCAGUGGGGAAGAAAGCCUUGGGGCUAAUACCCUCGAGGAAGGACAUCACCCACAGAAGAAGCACCGGCUAACUCCGUGCCAGCAGCCGCGGUAAUACGGAGGGUGCGAGCGUUAAUCGGAAUUACUGGGCGUAAAGCGCGCGUAGGCGGUCUGAUAAGCCGGUUGUGAAAGCCCCGGGCUCAACCUGGGAACGGCAUCCGGAACUGUCAGGCUAGAGUGCAGGAGAGGAAGGUAGAAUUCCCGGUGUAGCGGUGAAAUGCGUAGAGAUCGGGAGGAAUACCAGUGGCGAAGGCGGCCUUCUGGACUGACACUGACGCUGAGGUGCGAAAGCGUGGGUAGCAAACAGGAUUAGAUACCCGUGUAGUC